Molecule: ribosomal RNA, 315 nt
Filed under: Triticum aestivum (bread wheat)
Lineage: Eukaryota; Viridiplantae; Streptophyta; Magnoliopsida; Poales; Poaceae
Description: partial small subunit ribosomal RNA
Source: RNAcentral
AUGGAAAAGCACAUGAAUUCCUUUCCUGCAGGGACCAUACUCCUGUGUGUGCUUCUCUUGUUCUCUACGAUCCAUGCAGAGUGCCAAAUCAUGCAGAGCCUAGCAAAUGAGAAGAUCAAUUUCCCAACAGGAUUGUGCAUCCAUAGACCAGAAAAAACGUGCCCAACUAAGCCAUUUUGUUUCUGUUGUUUAGUGAACAGCGAUUGCUAUCUUGCAAUGGAUGGUUGCGUGAGUAACUGUGCAAAGUCUGCUUCAUCAGGAAUAGAGGCUUCACAGAAAUAUGGUCUAUCACCUUCCCAUGUAAUGCACCGAUGA